AAUGGGCGGAAGCCUGAUCCAGCCAUGCCGCGUGAGUGAAGAAGGCCUUCGGGUUGUAAAGCUCUUUCGGUGGGGAAGAAAUUGCACGGGCUAAUACCCUGUGUAGAUGACGGUACCCGACUAAGAAGCACCGGCUAACUACGUGCCAGCAGCCGCGGUAAUACGUAGGGUGCGAGCGUUAAUCGGAAUUACUGGGCGUAAAGCGUGCGCAGGCGGUUUGGUCAGUCAGAUGUGAAAGCCCCGGGCUCAACCUGGGAACUGCAUUUGAGACUGCCAGGCUGGAGUGUGGCAGAGGGGGGUGGAAUUCCACGUGUAGCAGUGAAAUGCGUAGAGAUGUGGAGGAACACCGAUGGCGAAGGCAGCCCCCUGGGUCACUACUGACGCUCAUGCACGAAAGCGUGGGGAGCAAA
RNAcentral lists this ribosomal RNA (410 nucleotides) under uncultured bacterium. RNAcentral's name for it is "bacterial SSU rRNA". It matches the Rfam family "Bacterial small subunit ribosomal RNA", at positions 370 to 772 of the family's 1533-position model. The record is from RNAcentral.